AGAGUUUGAUCCUGGCUCAGGACGAACGCUGGCGGCGUGCUUAACACAUGCAAGUCACGGGGGUCCCUUUCGGGGGAUAACCGGCGAACGGGUGCGUAACACGUGAGCGACCUGCCCGCUUGUGGGGGAUAGCCGGCCCAACGGCCGGGUAAUACCGCAUACGCUGUGGGGCCCGCAUGGGCCUUUCAGGAAAGCAGUGAUGCGCAGGCGGAGGGGCUCGCGGCCUAUCAGCUCGUUGGCGGGGUAACGGCUCACCAAGGCCGCGAUCGGUAGCUGGUYUGAGAGGANCGGCCAGCCACACUGGCACUGACAUACGGGCCAGACUCCUACGGGAGGCAGCAGUGGGGAAUUUUGGGCAAUGGGCGAAAGCCUGACCCAGCAACGCCGCGUGAAGGAGGAAAUCCUUCGGGAUGUAAACUUCACAAGCAAGGGAAGAGCGCACAAGGGAUAACACCCUUUGUGCCCGACGGUACCUUGCGUAAGCCACGGCUAACUACGUGCCAGCAGCCGCGGUAAUACGUAGGGUGCAAGCGUUGUCCGGAAUUAUUGGGCGUAAAGAGCUCGUAGGCGGUUUGUUGCGUCGGCUGUGAAAUCCCGAGGCUCAACCUCGGGUCUGCAGUCGAUACGAGCAAACUAGAGUGUUGCAGGGGAGACUGGAAUUCCUGGUGUAGCGGUGAAAUGCGCAGAUAUCAGGAGGAACACCGGUGGCGAAGGCGGGUCUCUGGGCAACAACUGACGCUGAGGAGCGAAAGCGUGGGGAGCGAACAGGAUUAGAUACCCCAGUAGUCC
Molecule: ribosomal RNA, 789 nt
Filed under: uncultured Blastococcus sp.
Lineage: Bacteria; Bacillati; Actinomycetota; Actinomycetes; Geodermatophilales; Geodermatophilaceae
Description: bacterial SSU rRNA
Rfam family: Bacterial small subunit ribosomal RNA
Source: RNAcentral